UCCGGUUUGUCACCGGCAGUCUCAUUAGAGUGCCCAACUAAAUGUAGCAACUAAUGACAAGGGUUGCGCUCGUUGCGGGACUUAACCCAACAUCUCACGACACGAGCUGACGACAGCCAUGCAGCACCUGUGUAACGGUUCUCUUUCGAGCACUCCCUGAUCUCUCAAGGAUUCCAUCCAUGUCAAGGGUAGGUAGGGUUUUUCGCGUUGCAUCGAAUUAAUCCACAUCAUCCACCGCUUGUGCGGGUCCCCGUCAAUUCCUUUGAGUUUUAACCUUGCGGCCGUACUCCCCAGGCGGAUAACUUAAUGCGUUAGCUGCGCCACCAAAAGCCCAUGGCCCCUGACAGCUAGUUAUCAUCGUUUACGGCGUGGACUAC
Molecule: unclassified non-coding RNA, 377 nt
Filed under: uncultured Gammaproteobacteria bacterium
Lineage: Bacteria; Pseudomonadati; Pseudomonadota; Gammaproteobacteria
Description: contains 16S-23S intergenic spacer region
Source: RNAcentral